This 267-nucleotide ribosomal RNA is filed under the name uncultured bacterium. RNAcentral's name for it is "partial 16S ribosomal RNA". The record is from RNAcentral.
CUGCUGCCUUCCGUAGGAGUCUGGGCCGUGUCUCAGUCCCAGUGUGGGGGGCCUUCCUCUCAGAACCCCUACGCAUCGUCGCCACGGUGGGCCGUCACCCCGCCGUCUAGCUAAUGCGCCGCAUGCCCAUCCUCCGCCGGAAUCGCUUCCUCUUAACACCCGUGGGAUGCCCCACAGAUGUACCACGCGGUAUUAGUCCGGAUUUCUCCGGGUUAUCCCCCUGCGGAGGGCAGGUUGCAUACGUGUUACUCACCCGUGCGCCGGUCG